GACGAACGCUGGCGGCGUGCCUAAUACGUGCAAGUAGAACGCUGAAGGAGGAGCUUGCUUCUCUGGAUGAGUUGCGAACGGGUGAGUAACGCGUAGGUAACCUGCCUGGUAGCGGGGGAUAACUAUUGGAAACGAUAGCUAAUACCGCAUAAUAGCAGUUGUUGCAUGACAACUGUUUGAAAGGUGCAAUUGCACCACUACCAGAUGGACCUGCGUUGUAUUAGCUAGUUGGUGGGGUAACGGCUCACCAAGGCGACGAUACAUAGCCGACCUGAGAGGGUGAUCGGCCACACUGGGACUGAGACACGGCCCAGACUCCUACGGGAGGCAGCAGUAGGGAAUCUUCGGCAAUGGACGGAAGUCUGACCGAGCAACGCCGCGUGAGUGAAGAAGGUUUUCGGAUCGUAAAGAUCUGUUGUAAGAGAAGAACGAGUGUGAGAGUGGAAAGUUCACACUGUGACGGUAUCUUACCAGAAAGGGACGGCUAACUACGUG
Molecule: ribosomal RNA, 495 nt
Filed under: uncultured bacterium
Lineage: Bacteria
Description: partial 16S ribosomal RNA
Rfam family: Bacterial small subunit ribosomal RNA
Source: RNAcentral